This is a long non-coding RNA of Equus caballus (horse), 2369 nucleotides long. The record is from Ensembl. Lineage: Eukaryota; Metazoa; Chordata; Mammalia; Perissodactyla; Equidae.
GGCACAUGUUACUGAUGUCUGUAACAUUCCUUGAAAUGGAUUAAAAUUAAGACAGGUUGACGGAAGGACUAUGAACACAUGGACAGAUAGACAUAAAGCAAGUACAUUCAAAUGUUAAUGGUAGAAUCAACACUGUGGGAAUAUGGGGUUAAAUAAAAAAUUAUUUCAUAUUUCCAUUGUGUUUUGAAAUUUCCAUAAUUAAAUGUUGGAGAGAAAAACUUCACGAGGCCUUUCCACAUUUGCCUUUUUUGGAAGACGCCAAGCAAAGGGACAUGAAUGUUCAGGGUAACUGGAUCUGCUCGGAGGAGAAGCCUGUGAGGAGCAGGAGCCACACAGUGAGGAACAGUUGUCCAGGAUCCCUGAUUCCUCUAGGAAUGCCAGAAACCUCUUGCCUUCAGAGUUCCCUCCCCACAGCUGCCUGGAUCGGGGAGGCCUUACUCAGCUCAGAGGUCAGCCAGGGGCCCAGGAAUGCGGACACGACCCUACGAAGGACACACUGCUGUCUGGGUGUGCCUGGUCAGGCAGAUUAUUCCACCACAGGGGGACAGCCGUUGUGCUGGUGACACCUCAUGAAUAAUCUGUUUCUGUGGACUCACAUGCUUAUUCUUCUGCUGUUGUGGAGAAGAAAACGCACCAAACAUGGCUGUCAGGGGUGAGGACGCCUUUCUCUCAUCCUCUCGCAGAUCCAGAACUUCUGAUGACGAGGCGCCCUAGGGCGCUGAGCUUUGCUCCAAAGAUUGAUCUACAUUUUCCUCUCUGACUUGUGCUGCGUGCAGUGCGCCCUUGCUCUGAUGCAGCUCUCUCAGUUGUCCAUCCAGCCUCUGCCCAUGUGAGCGCUGUUCCAUCUGGGAAGGGAAAGCUCUGCUCUUUCUCAACACUGUAAAAAUUCCUAGAAAGAUGUGAUAACUGCCCAUUCCGGGGUUUUCUCUUUCUGCUCUGCUGUUCUGCCAGGAUUCUCGGCACAGUGCUCUCCUUCGCAUCUACGCUUCCAUUCCCCUUGUCAGCCAGAGUUCCCUAGGCUUUCUGGGAUUUCCAUAACAGUUUUUAGGGUCCCUGAGCUCACGAUAUUGCUCGUCCUUGUGAAGUGUUUCCUGUUUUCACUUCACCCUGACCACGUGGAUUUUGGCAUUUCCUUCCCAAACCCCAAGGGCUCAUCUUGUUGAUCUCUCCUUCUUGACCUGCCCCCAGGGUGAGGAAGGAGGAUGCUGGCGGGAAGGUGAGGACUUGAGUCUGUGCUGAGACCCAGAGGAGGGGCGGGGCGGGCGGCCUCUUCAGCAGGUGGACUCUGAGGGGGUCGGGAAAGAAGAGGUAGGAGAAGAGCGAGAGCGGAGAGCUUCCCUCCCCACAGACUCCAUCCAGCGGCGGGUCCUGACGACCUGGCGUCUAUCCUGCCCGCCCUGCCACCCAGCCAAUCCAGGCUGAUGCUCAGGGUGCGUCUCAACGAUGCAUCUGUGACGUCAUGCGGCUCCCCACCGUCUUGACAUCCUUGGGAAUUCCUCCUCAGCCCCGCCUGCCUCCCUCCUCCAUCCCACUAUCCGCCCUGUGCAGUCAGGAGGUGUCCCCAGUUCACUGGUGAAUUCAUUGGAUCUGUCACGUCGCCAGCUGGAAUGGGACAGGCCCUGAACCCAGGGAUCCCAGGCAAGGGCGCUGAGACAGCAGGGUCGCAAUCCCAGCAGGGACUGCUUGACUCUGGGCUGGUCUUGCCCUCCCCUCUCCUGUGGAGCCUCACCCCGCCCCUCCGAAGCCCCGCCCCCUGUACACGGACUGGGUGUCCAUGGUGACGGGAAGGAAGCCGGUUCUGAAUUCCCUACUCCCUUCAUUAGUUCAUCAAUCCCUUUAUUUUCCAUAAGUGUAGCAAACAUUUCUCAGCUUGUCCUUCGUCAGCGUACAUUACAGUAUGGACUUUUGACCUUUAUUUUGGCAGCAGAUAUUUUAUUAAGUCAAAUUUGACGCCAUGUUUAUGAACAGAAACACAGAUUUUUGCAUUGUCUGGGGAAGUUUCAGCUGGAUCUUUUUUGUGUCAAAGAAAUAGAGAAAUUGAUGAGAAUACUUCCUUGAAUAAAUCCCUUUAAAUUUAUUGCCCAUCAUUGUGGAGAUGAAUUUACUUAGGAAAAAACUAAGAAAUUCUGAGAAUGAAGGAGGGGUGAAGAGGCAAAUGAAAUAAUUCAACCAGGCUACCACUGCAGAUGUGUGAUAUUAGACUGAGCGUGUCCAAUGGGGAGCAGCACAGAGAGUGUGAACAAAUCUUCACUGAGAGCAGAACGGUGCAGCGGAAGUGAGCUGGGCUCCCAACUCAGAAGAAGAAGACUCUUUCUGUGUGUUUCCAAGUGCUCAAUUCUCUACAUAAAAUCUAGCUGUUUCCACUUUUU